This 126-nucleotide ribosomal RNA is filed under the name Lepisosteus oculatus (spotted gar). Lineage: Eukaryota; Metazoa; Chordata; Actinopteri; Semionotiformes; Lepisosteidae. The record is from RNAcentral.
UUUAGCAGCCAUGUCACCCUGCAACUCACAAUUGGCAGCCUCCUCCCCACUGGAGCCCAGCAGGUGUGAGCCUGGUCAGUACCUGGAGGGGAGACCUCCUGGGAAAAACUGAGGUUGCUGCUGGGA